RNAcentral lists this small RNA (181 nucleotides) under Gopherus agassizii (Agassiz's desert tortoise). RNAcentral describes it as "TUC338 (ENSGAGG00000011016.1)". Lineage: Eukaryota; Metazoa; Chordata; Testudines; Testudinidae. The record is from RNAcentral.
UUGUCAGAACCUGAAGAACGAAGGUGUCUAUUUUUCCAUAGAUCAGAUACAGCACAGGCAGCAGCAGUGAACACCCCUUCACAUUAUUCCACUAAUAUACCUCAUCCCUGGCCUAGAGGGAUGAGGAUGAGAAGAUGAGAAGUUAGUUCGGUCUCCAUGGUCCAUUCAGUCCCAGACUUCU